Molecule: long non-coding RNA, 1139 nt
Organism: Nelumbo nucifera (sacred lotus)
Lineage: Eukaryota; Viridiplantae; Streptophyta; Magnoliopsida; Proteales; Nelumbonaceae
Source: RefSeq, a predicted model, not a curated record
CAAAAAAUCGAAGUAAAAUUUGUUAUAUUUCUUGGUCAAAGUAAAUGGAACAUAGUUUUGCAUCCAUUCUCAAGUAAAAGAGAGAAACCCUCGAAGAGAGAGAAAGAGAACAGUUCUGAGCCUCGACAAAGAUAAUGAUCUCUACUUUCAAUUUCUGAAAAUGAGAGAUGCAACUCUAUUCUUCAAUCUAUUGAUCCCUUAGAGAUCUUACUUCGGUCUAUUCGGUUUCUAUAACGAUCUCUACUUUUGAUUUUUUUUUUUUUUUUUUUAUUUCAUUGAGGUCAUUUCCCUCGUCGAAAUAGAGAUCUGACCUUACAAUGAAUGUUUUCUAUUCCAGUUAGUGGAUCAAAUAGACUAUAUCGCUUUGACCGAAGCAUGGAAGUUUUCAGAAGUUAAGCACUUAUUACUGUCUUCGAGAUGUGAAUAGCGAAACCACUGAACCUUACUUUCGCUCCAACGUAGCUAUCACCAAAACAACCGAUUUCAAGAUAUAUGCCAAUCGGAUAUGAAAGUUUAUAGUUUAUUAAGGUACCUGAUUGCGCUUCUAGCAACAAUCUAGUUGAAGAUUGUAACAAAAGAAAAAUAUAUGCCUAAAAAGAUGACAAGAAAGAAAAGGAAGCUAGAGAAUGUGAUAAGAAUUGCUUGGAAAAGAACUGGUUUUCUUUUGUGCUGGCAACAGAGAUCAGCAGUUUUGGUGAUCGGUCAAUGGUCCCCAUGAGAAAACCUGAUGUUCUUGCUCUGGAGAUUGUUGAUAUGCGAGAGAAGAGAGGGACAACCUGGAGAUUGUCACUAUUUUUUUUUUUUGUUCCUUAUGUGACAGGAUGCCUAGGCAGCUAAUUCUAUGCCUUUUGGAAGCUCCAUAGUUCCUAUUCAAAAAGAAUAGUUGUCGUUGGCGUGAAGAGGAGAGAGAAAGUGGCUUACUUGGUAGAAGAGACCGUUGUAUUUGCAUUGAUGGUGGGAGUAGCUGGUUGUUUUUAUGUUGUUAUUUUUUACCAAGAUGCCCGUUAUAUGCUCGAGCAGCUUGUUAUUUUUUAUAUUUGUUUAAUGGUGGGAGUAGACGGAACAUCAUUUGGUAGCAAGAAACAGUUGUAUUUGCAUUGAUGGAAAUGACAAACAUCCACAAAAAAAUUGUAUUCUUA